UUAUAAGAGACAGCAGCCGCCGCGGGAAAACGGAGGGGGCUAGCGUUGUUCGGAAUUACUGGGCGUAAAGCGCACGUAGGCGGCUUGGUAAGUUAGAGGUGAAAGCCCAGGGCUCAACCCUGGAAUUGCCUUUAAGACUGCCGAGCUAGUAGGUGAGAGAGGUGAGUGGAAUUCCGAGUGUAGAGGUGAAAUUCGUAGAUAUUCGGAAGAACACCAGUGGCGAAGGCGGCUCACUGGCUCAUUCUAGACGCUGAGGUGCGAAAGCGUGGGGAGCAAACAGGAUUAGAUACCCCCGUAGUCCCUGUCUCUUAUAC
This 314-nucleotide ribosomal RNA is filed under the name uncultured bacterium. RNAcentral's name for it is "partial 16S ribosomal RNA". It matches the Rfam family "Bacterial small subunit ribosomal RNA", at positions 499 to 807 of the family's 1533-position model. The record is from RNAcentral.